This 5736-nucleotide long non-coding RNA is filed under the name Taeniopygia guttata (zebra finch). RNAcentral describes it as "lncRNA (ENSTGUG00000028869.1)". The record is from RNAcentral. Lineage: Eukaryota; Metazoa; Chordata; Aves; Passeriformes; Estrildidae.
AUGGAGAGGGUUUGGGGGUCCCUGGGGAGGGUUUGGGGGUCCUUGGGUGCCCUGGGGGGGAUUUUGGGGGUCCCUGGGGAGGAUUUUGGGGAUCCCUGGGAGGGUUUUGGGGGUCCCUGGGUCCCUCCCCGAUUUCUGGGGAGGAUUUUGGGGGUCCCUGGGGGGGAUUUUGGGGGGUCUCUGGGGGGGAUUUUGGGGAUCCCUGGGGGGGUUUUGGGGGUCCCUGGGGGAGAUUUUGGGGGUCCCCGGGGUGGAUUUUGGGGGUCCCUGGGGGGGUUUUUGGGUUCUCUGGGGGGAUUUGGGGGGUCCCUGGGGGGGAUUUUGGGGGUCCCUGGGUGCCCUGGGGGGGAUUUUGGGGGUCCCUGGGGGGGUUUUGGGGGUCCCUGGGGGGAUUUUGGGGGUCCCUGGGGGGAUUUUGGGGGUCCCUGGGGAGGAUUUUGGGGGUCCCCGGGUACCUCCCCGAUUUCUGGGGAGGAUUUUGGGGGUCCCUGGGUGCCCUGGGGGGGAUUUUGGGGGUCCCUGGGGAGGGUUUGGGGGUCCCUGGGUGCCUUGGGGGGGAUUUUGGGGGUCCCUGGGGGGGAUUUUGGGGGUCCCUGGAGGGGGUUUGGGGGUUCCUGGGGGGAAUUUUGGGGGUCUCUGGGGGGAUUUUGGGGGUCCCUGGGGGGAUUUUGGGGGUCCCUGGGUCCCUCCCCGAUUUCUGGGGGGGAUUUUGGGGGUCUCUGGGGAGGAUUUUGGGGGUCCCUGGAAAGAGUUUGGGGGUCCGUGGGUGCCCUGGGGGGGAUUUUGGGGGUCCCUGGGGGGUUUGGGGGUCCCUGGGGGGAUUUUGGGGGUCCCUGGGGAGGAUUUUGGGGGUCCCUGGGGAGGAUUUUGGGGGUCCUCAUGGAUGUCCCCCUCCAGCACGACCCCACCCGAAGCCUCGGGACCCCCCCGGGGACCCCCCUGAGGGGGUGGGGGAGGGGCUGGAGCCCCCCAAAAAUGAGGAGGAGGAGGAGGAGGAGACCUGGAUGGACGAGGACUCGCGGACCUUCUCGCAGUUUCUGCUGCUGAUGGAGCAGCAGCGGCAGCUGCACGAGCUGCAGCGGGAGGUGGAGCAGCUCCGGGCCGCCGUGGCAGCCGCCGAGACCCCCGAGGAGUCGGGGGGACCCCCGGGGGACCCCAAAUCGGAGCUGCGGGAACGGGACCGGGAACAGCUGCAGGAGCUGCGGGCAGGCACGGGGGGAUUGGGGGAUUUGGGGGGGAUUUGGGGUUCGGGGGGGGAGAGAUUUGGGGUCUGGGGGGGCGAUUUGGGGUCUGGGGUGGAGAUUUGGGGGCGUUAUGGUGUUUUUUUGGGGGUCCAGGGGGGCCAAUAUGGGGUUUGGGGUGGGGAAUUUGGGGUCCUGGGGGGAAUUUGGGGGCGUUACGGAGAUUUUUCGGGGUCCUGGGGGGGGAAAUUGGGGUCUUGGGGGGUGGAAUUUGGGGUCUUGGGGGGGAGAUUUGGGGUCUGGGGGGGAGAUUUGGGGGCAUUAUGGGGUUUUUUUGGGGUCUUGGGGAGGGAAUUUGGGGUCUGGGGGGAAGAUUUGGGGUCUGGGAGGGGCAAUUUGGGGGGUAAUGGGGCAUUUUUUGGGGUUCGGGGCGGGCAAUUUGGGGUCUGGGGGGAGAUUUGGGGUCUGGGAGGGAGAUUUGGGGUCUUGGGGAGGGAAUUUGGGGUCCGUGGAGGGGGAAUUUAGGGUCCUCGGGGGGGAUUUGGGGGCGUUAUGGGUUUUUUUGGGGGGUCCAGGGGGGCCAAUUUGGGGUUUGGGGUGGGGAAUUUGGGGUCUGGGGGGGGGAUUUGGGGUCUGGGGGGGGAAUUUGGGGUCCUGGGGGGUGGAAUUUGGGGUUCAUGGGGGGAAUUUGGGGUCUGGGGGGGCGAUUUGGGGUCUUGGGGGGAAUUUGGGGGGGUUAUGGGGGAUUUUGGGGGGUUUGGGGGCUGUAAUUAAUUCGGUUCCGGGUUCUAUAAUUAAUUGGGGGCAGGUUUGGGGGUCCGGGCCGGUUUUUGGGGGGGGGUCUCAGGGCUGUGCCCCCCCAGGGCUGGGGGUGUGUAAUUAAUUUGGGGUCCGGGGCUGUAAUUAAUUCGGGGUCCGGGUGCUGUAAUUAAUUGGGGGUUCCGGGUUCUAUAAUUAAUUGGGGGCAGGUUUGGGGGUCCGGCCCGGUUUUUGGGGGGGGUCUCAGGGCUGUGCCCCCCCCAGGACUGGGGGAGCUGCCGGCCCGGCUGGAGGAGGGGCGGGGGGCCGGGGACCCCCCCGGGGACCCCCCCGGAUUUGGGGACCCCCUGUGGGACCCCCCCGGGAUUGGGGACCCCCUGUGGGACCCCCCCGGAUUUGGGGACCCCCUCUGGGACCCCCCCGGAUUUGGGGACCCCCUGUGGGACCCCCCCGGAUUUGGGGACCCCCCCGGAUUUGGGGACCCCCCCGGGGACCCCCCCGGAUUUGGGGACCCCCCCGGGGACCCCCCCGGGUUUGGGGACCCCCUGUGGGACCCCCCCGGAUUUGGGGACCCCCCCGGAUUUGGGGACCCCCCGUGGGAGCAGCUGCGGCGUCUGGAGCUGCUCGUGAGCCGGAGGGGCCCGGGGGCGGUGAGAGCCAAACUGGGAGCACUGGGAGGGACUGGGGGGGACUGGGGGGGACUGGGAGCACAAACUGGGAGUACUGGGAGGGACUGGGAGGGACUGGGAGCACUGGGAGGAACUCACUGGGAGCACUGGGAGCACCAACUGGGAGUACUGGGAGGAACUGGGAGUACUGGGAUGGAGCAACUGGGAGUACUGGAAGCACUGGGAGGGACUAACUGGGAGGGACUGGGAGGAACUGGGAGUACUGGGAGGGAGCAACUGGGAGCACUGGGAGGGACUGGGAGUACUGGGAGCACAAACUGGGAGUACUGGAAGGGAGCAACUGGGAGAAAUGGGAGCACUGGGAGCUACUGGGAGGGAGCAACUGGGAGCACAAACUGGGAGGGACUGGGAGGGACUGUGAGUACUGGGAGCACUGGGAGGAACUCACUGGGAGCACUGGGAGCACAAACUGGGAGUACUGGGAGCACUGGGAGUACUGGGAGCACUGGGAGGAACUAACUGGGAGUACUGGGAGCACUGGGAGCACAAACUGGGAGCACUGGGAGGGACUGGGAGCACUGGGAGGAACUGGGGGGAACUGGGAGCACAAACUGGGAGUACUGGGAGCACAAACUGGGAGCACUGGGAGGAACUGGGAGGAACUGGGAGUACUGGGAGGGACUAACUGGGAGUACUGGGAGCACCAACUGGGAGUAUUGGGAGGAACUAACUGGGAGGUACUGGGAGCACUGGGAGCACUAACUGGGAGCACUGGGAGGGACUGGGAGCACUGGGAGGAACUGGGAGUACUGAGAGCACAAACUGGGAGCACUGGGAGGGACUGGGAGGGGAGGUUGGGGGGUUUUGGGGGAACAAUUUUGGGUUCAUGGGGAGAAUUUGGGGUUAUUGGAGAGAAUUUGGGGGUUCAUUGCUGAAAAUUUGGGGUUUUAUGGGGAGAAUUUGGGGGAGAAUUGGGGGAAAUUUGGGGGUUCACGGGGAAAAUUUGGGGGUUAAUUUGGGAAAAAUUUGGGGUUUUAUGGGGAGAAAUUGAGGGUUAGUUGGGGGAGAAUUUGGGGUUAAUUGGGGAAAAUUUGGGGGUUCACUGGGUGAAAUUUGGGGGUUCAUUGAGGGAAAUUUGGGGGAUCAUUGGGGGAAAUUUGGGGUUAAUUGGGGGAGAAUUUGGGGGUUCACAGGGAAAAAUUUGGGGGUUCACUGGGUGAAAUUGGGGGUUCACUGGGUGAAAUUUGGGGGUUCAUUGAGGGAAAUUUGGGGGUUCAUUGAGGGAAAUUUGGGAUUAAUUAGGGGAGAAUUUGGGGUUAAUUGAGUGAAAUUUGGGGUUAAUUGGGGAGAAUUUGGGGGUUAAUUGGGAGAGAAUUUGGGGGUUCAUUGAGGGAAAUUUGGGGGUUCAUUGAGGGAAAUUUGGGGUUAAUUGAGGUAAAUUUGGGGAUUAAUUGAGUGAAAUUUGGGGGAUCAUUGGGGGAGAAUUUGGGGGUUCAUUGAGGGAAAUUUGGGGGUUCAUUGGGGGAAAUUUGGGGUUAAUUGAGGGGAAUUUGGGGGUUCACUGGGUGAAAUUUGGGGGUUCAUUGGGGGAAAUUUGGGGGUUCAUUGAGGGAGAAUUUGGGGGUUCAUUGAGGGAAAUUUGGGGUUCAGUGAGGGAAAUUUGGGGAUUAAUUGAGGGGAAUUUGGGGGAUCAUUGGGUGAAAUUUGGGGGUUCAUUGAGGGAAAUUUGGGGGUUCAAUGGGGGAAAUUUGGGGGAUCAUUGGGGGAGAAUUGGGGUUAAUUAGGGGAGAAUUUGGGGGUUGAGUGAAAUUUGGGGGUUCAAUGAGGGAAAUUUGGGGUUAAUUGAGUGAAAUUUGGGGUUAAUUCGGGGAGAAUUUGGGGGUUCAUUGGGGGAGAAUUUGGGGGUUCACUGGGUGAAAUUUGGGGGUUCAUUGAGGGAAAUUUGGGGUUCACUGGGUGAAAUUUGGGGGAUCGUUGGGGGAGAAUUUGGGGGUUCAUUGAGGGAAAUUUGGGGUUAAUUGGGGGAGAAUUUGGGGACUCAUUGGGGGAAAAUUUGGGGAUUCACGGGGAGAAUUUGGGGGUUCCUUGCUGAAAAUUUUGGGGGUUUCUUGGGGAAAAAUUUGGGGUUUUAUGGGGAGAAUUUGGGGGUUCAUUUGGGAAAAAAUUGGGGUUCAUUGGGGAAAAUUUGGGGUUCAUUGGGGGUUUAUUGGGAGUUUAUGGGGAGAAUUUGGGGGUUCAUGGGGAGAAUUUGGGGUUAUUGGGGGAGAAUUUGGGGGUUCAUUGGUGAAAUUUGGGGUUUCAUUGGGUGAAAUUUGGGGUUAAUUGGGGGAAAUUUGGGGGUUCACUGGGUGAAAUUUGGGGGUUCAUUGAGGGAAAUUUGGGGAUCAUUGGGGGAGAAUUUGGGGGUUCACUGGGUGAAAUUUGGGGUUAAUUGGGGGAGAAUUUGGGGUCCCCCCUCAGGUUUGGGGUCCCCCCCCCUUUUUUCGGGUCCCCCCCAAUUUUGGGGUCCCCCCCCCCAAUUUUGGGUCCCCCCCAAUUUUGGGGUCCCCCCAGGUCCCGGCAGGGUCGGAGCCCCUCCGCAGCCGCCCCCCCCCCCCGCGCCCCCCCAGCCCCAGGUGAGCCCCCCGGGACCCCCAACCCCACCCUGGCAGUGAGGGGGGGCUCCCCACCCCCCCAGGGGUGACAGCAGCACCCAAGGGUGCCCCCACAGCCCCUCCCCCACCCCCCAGGGAGGAGGAGGAGGAGGAAGAGGAGAGACCCCUGAGCCCCCGCGAGCUGCGGGAGAGGGUCCUGAGAGAGGUGGGGGUCCUGGCACCCAUGGGUGGGGGUCCUGGCACCCAUGGGUGGGGGUCCUGAGAGAGGUGGGGGGCACUGGCACCCAUGGGUGGGGGUCCUGAGAGAGGUGGGGGGCACUGGCACCCAUGGGUGGGGGUCCUGAGAGAGGUGGGGGGCACUGGCACCCAUGGGUGGGGGUCCUGGGACAUGGGUGGGGGUCCUGAGAGAGGUGGGGGGCACUGGCGCCCAUGGGUGGGGGUCCUGAGAGAGGUGGGGGGCACUGGCACCCAUGGGUGGGGGUCCUGAGAGAGGUGGGGGCACUGGCACCCAUGGGUGGGGGUCCUGAGAGAGGUGGGGGCACUGGCACCCAUGGGUGGGGGUCCUGAGAGAGG